GGCUUCAUAGCUCAGGUUGUUAGAGCGUCGCACCGAUAUCGCAAGGUCACGGGUUCACACCCCGUUGAAGUCC
This 73-nucleotide transfer RNA is filed under the name Acropora cervicornis. Its description in RNAcentral is "tRNA-Ile". It matches the Rfam family "tRNA". From Rfam's summary of the family: Transfer RNA (tRNA) molecules are approximately 80 nucleotides in length. Lineage: Eukaryota; Metazoa; Cnidaria; Anthozoa; Scleractinia; Acroporidae. The record is from RNAcentral.